RNAcentral lists this long non-coding RNA (2005 nucleotides) under Triticum aestivum (bread wheat). RNAcentral's name for it is "long non-coding RNA (TAES_LNC004397)". The record is from RNAcentral. Lineage: Eukaryota; Viridiplantae; Streptophyta; Magnoliopsida; Poales; Poaceae.
GGGAGAGUAGUAUAGAAAGGAACCACUGGAACUCUAGAUGUGAGCAUGGAGGGAGAGUGGACAAGAAUGCAUCGCUUCCCAAGUGCCUGCAAGUUUUGUGAAUUAUUGUGAGUCCAAAUUACCCCAUCAGAUCCAUUACUACUACUAUUACUACUAUAGUGUGCUUUGCAGUUUUGAGCAAUUUACUGAAUAUACUAGCGCAUUUGCAGAAUACGGCUACAAGUCUGCAACACUGGCACAAUGACAAAGUCCAAAUGCCAAUUGUGUUGGUUCCAGCAUUGUCAAUCGAUCUGCACAUAGCACCGAACAGUGUGGAAGACACGCAUUACAUUUCAAAAUAGUAUGUCCCUGUACUGUGAUCUGAAGUAAAACCCUGAAAUAAUUGUUUUCAAGUUUGUAUCCAUGUAUUUUAUAUCCUUUUCGUCUGGAUUUCACUGUUGAUCCAUACUGACUACAAAUGUCUUCUUCUACCUAGCAUUGUUUGACUGUCAAAUUCCAUAAGAAUAUUAAGUUUAAAUUCCAUAUCUGUUUGACAUGAUUAAUUAAUCUGGUUGUUUCAUGUCUAAGCAUAUUUGCUUGCAGGAUUUCUGCACUUAUUUUUUCCACCUACGUACUAGUAUAUCUUGUUGUUCAUAGAUAGAUUAAUGUAUGGAGAGAUUAAUUGUCUGAACUAUUAUAGAUGUCCUUAUCAUGUUGCCUAGUGGAGCCACACGUGUUCAGGUCCUCGCUAUCCUCGCCAAUGUUUCGUAUAUGAAGGGGAUAAUCCUGGUAAUUUUUGGGUGUGGGAAUGCUCUUGCUAUGAAUGAUGACUUCUAGUCUUUGCAUUUGUGUGUAUUUGUAUGUUGUAAUUCGCUGAGCGAACUGUUGUGAGUACAGAGUAAUAGAACAUAGGUUGGCUUAUUUGGCUUUCUUGAACGUCAUCUGUCUAACCUGUUGGCCUAUUUAAAAAGCUCAUCUCCUUUUGUUUUAGCAGGUUCUUUGGCAACUAGAGAAGCAAGCUGGACAAACUUUUGGCCAUUCAAAAACUCGAUGAUCAUGACAUCGUAAGAGCAAUUAAUCUGUAUGACAACAUCAUUCUCAUCCUUGCUUGGUCUGUAAAAAUAUAAUUGAUUGUGAGCUAUUGCACAAGCACCCUGUAUAGCAUUAUGUUUGGUGUUGUGAAAGAUCAUAUUGCUAUGAAGAUAUUAUUGGUUUCAAGUCAUGCUACUAUGAGAGAUUAUGUUGUUGUGAUGUGACUGAUAUUGAUGUGAUUAGAUAUUGAUUCCAAGUCAACCAAAAUUAUGUUCUUGAUGUGAAGAACUGCUGUCACAUUUUUAUUAGGUGUCAUUCACAAUUUUAUAGCAAGUUUGUCUAGCUAUGAUGCUAUUUAACCUGUAAAGAUUGUAUUUUUAAUAGGUUUACACCAUUUUAACUCAAUAGGGAAAUCCCUGCCUACCAAACAGUGUUUUAUAUGGAGGGGUUGUGGCUGGAGAGGGAUUUGAGGUUUGAAGGGGAUCUGAGGGGAUUGGGUGGAAGAGGAGGAUUCACCAAAUCCCCUGAAAUCCCCUUCUCCCCAAACCUCUCAAAUCCACUCCUAUCAAACAAAGCCUAAGUGAGACUGUUCUUGGCCGAUCCGCUUUCUCCUCUUCUCUUAUUUUUUUAUUCUCAGUUAAAAUUUGCUGAUGUUGGAUAGCUCCCAUCAGGUUGCUCUUUUGAUUCACUGCAUUCAAGAUGCUCGUCCUAACCUGAAGCAACACCUGCACCUGAUGCUUUGACAGGGUGACCAUCAACGGUGAUUGAGGGUUAGCAGGGCCGAAGGAUUUACUGCACCAGGGAGUAGGCGAGAUCAUCGAUUUGGACGCUUCCGUCGAAGUUGUCGUCCGUGCAGUUGAUUUGGUCGUGGACGUGGAUUUUGUUAGAUGUGUAUAGUUCAUUGUGUACAUUCCCAUUGUAUAAGGGGCUUGUCUGCACUUUAUCACACCUGUAUAUGUACUUGCCUUUGGCCCUCAGUAAAGAGUUAGUUGCU